This 622-nucleotide ribosomal RNA is filed under the name Paracheilinus mccoskeri (McCosker's flasher). RNAcentral describes it as "partial small subunit ribosomal RNA". It matches the Rfam family "Bacterial small subunit ribosomal RNA", at positions 543 to 1456 of the family's 1533-position model. Lineage: Eukaryota; Metazoa; Chordata; Actinopteri; Labriformes; Labridae. The record is from RNAcentral.
AGUUGACAGAAAACGGCGUAAAGAGUGGUUAAGGAAAAUAAUAAACUAAAGCCGAAGGCUCUCAAUACUGUUAUACGCUAGCGAGAGUACGAAGCCCUACAACGAAAGUGGCUUUAUUUUACCUGAUCCCACGAAAGCUAAGACACAAACUGGGAUUAGAUACCCCACUAUGCUUAGCCGUAAACAUAGAUAGUUUACUACGCAUACUAUCCGCCUGGGGACUACGAGCAAUAGCUUAAAACCCAAAGGACUUGACGGUGCUUUAGACCCCCCUAGAGGAGCCUGUCCUGGAACCGAUAAUCCACGUUAAACCUUACCUUUUCUUGCUAAUCCCGCCUAUAUACCGCCGUCGUCAGCUUACCCUCUAAGGGUUUAAUAGUAAGCACAAUUGGCACAGCCCAAAACGCCAGGUCGAGGUGUAGCGUAUGAAGAGGGAUGAGAUGGGCUACAUUCCAUAGAACAAUGAAUACGGAUGGUGGCCUGAAAUACCCACCUGAAGGAGGAUUUAGCAGUAAGAGGAGGACAGAAUACUCCCCUGAAAUAGGCCCUGAAGCGCGUACACACCGCCCGUCACUCUCCCCGAAAAUAAGUAAAUUCUAUAUAAGCCCAGCCUAAAAAUAGA